This 447-nucleotide ribosomal RNA is filed under the name uncultured bacterium. Its description in RNAcentral is "bacterial SSU rRNA". It matches the Rfam family "Bacterial small subunit ribosomal RNA", at positions 355 to 825 of the family's 1533-position model. The record is from RNAcentral.
UGGGGAAUAUUGGACAAUGGGCGCAAGCCUGAUCCAGCCAUGCCGCGUGAGUGACGAAGGCCUUAGGGUUGUAAAGCUCUUUUGGCGGGGAAGAUAAUGACGGUACCCGCAGAAUAAGCUCCGGCUAACUUCGUGCCAGCAGCCGCGGUAAUACGAAGGGAGCUAGCGUUGUUCGGAAUCACUGGGCGUAAAGCGCACGUAGGUGGGCAGUUAAGUCAGAGGUGAAAUCCCGGAGCUCAACUUCGGAACUGCCUUUGAUACUGGCAAUUUAGAGUCCGGAAGAGGUUAGUGGAAUUCCCAGUGUAGAGGUGAAAUUCGUAGAUAUUGGGAAGAACACCAGUGGCGAAGGCGGCUAACUGGUCCGGUACUGACGCUGAGGUGCGAAAGCGUGGGGAGCAAACGGGAUUAGAUACCCCCGUAGUCCCUGAGCGGGCUGGCAAGGCGCAU